AGUAGUCAUGGCUACUAUAAAUAGAGACUUAAGCCAUGAGCGUUCCCAUCUUUGUGAUGGGAGGUGUCU
Molecule: ribozyme, 69 nt
Filed under: Schaedlerella arabinosiphila
Lineage: Bacteria; Bacillati; Bacillota; Clostridia; Lachnospirales; Lachnospiraceae
Description: pistol ribozyme
Rfam family: Pistol ribozyme
Source: RNAcentral